RNAcentral lists this ribosomal RNA (280 nucleotides) under Vibrio cholerae CP1037(10). RNAcentral describes it as "partial 16S ribosomal RNA". The record is from RNAcentral. Lineage: Bacteria; Pseudomonadati; Pseudomonadota; Gammaproteobacteria; Vibrionales; Vibrionaceae.
UGAACUCAUCAUUUCACCCUUUUAUAAGCAAGUGGUAGGUAUAGUAGAUGGCUUAAUCAUUAACAAAUAGCCUGUUCUGCCUAAAACAUCACCAAGUGCUCGAAAACUUUAAAAAACUUCUAAAAAGUACUUGCCAAUAUAACUAGGUUCUCUAUAAUCCGCCCUCACUGAUACGGCAGACGCAGUAAGCGUUAGCAGUGAUUCAGCUCGGUGUUUUAGGUCGCGAAAUCGCCAACGAAAAUAAACUGAAAAAAGUGUUUGACACAACAGUUUAUCUCGC